AUGCAACAAAAGCAAAACAUUCCCAUCACAUGCACCAGCUGUGGCAUGUUCCGCUUUUUCACACAAAAACUAGACAACUACAUCUGCUCCAAAUGCAAACAGAUGACUCUGAUGAAGCAGAGGAUCCAACAGCUCGAGCACCGUAUUAAGACCCUUAAGGACAUUCAGGCACUCGAGCUCUUCUUGGACACUGCACAACACGCUGCUGUAGAUCAGCAGCCUGCAUCACACCAACACCACCAAGACCAUGAUCAGGAACCUUAUGGGGAGAUCAACUCAAAGGUAGACAACCCUCAGGCUUGGAAGGAGGUCACCCAUAGAAGGAGACGCAGGACCAGGCAGCCUCAGCAGAACUCCUCUGCUCAGCUGCAUUUACACAACAGAUUUGAAAUUCUUACAUCAUUAACAUACAAUCAGGAAACACAGCUUGUGGAGGACCACAGUUUCUUAGAUACCACUCAGUGGACCAUCCUGGAUCAAUGCGCAGGGGAUAGCCCUGACAGGGACAGUGCAUCACCACAGUCACACUUAUGUAAUCAUGCAAAUGCUCCAUCCCCAAUCAUAGACCAGGAGCAACAGGAACAUCCUUGGGAGAGUAAUGGGCUCUCGGAUGUAUCUCAAUGGAUUGUCAUUGAUGAAUGCACUGGGGAUGUUGAGGAGGAGGACAACACUUUACACCUACAUGAUUCACUUCAACAGGAACACUCUUCAGGGGACAUACACACUGUCUUGCACAAAAGGGACCCUGUCAAUCCUCAAAGGAAACAGGUCUUGGUAGUAGGUGACUCCCUCCUUAGAGGAACGGAAGCCAUCAUUUCCAGACCGGAUGGGAUGGCUCGAGAAACAUGCUGCCUCCCGGGGGCAAAAAUACACCAUAUCACUCAGAGGCUCAGCAGGCUCCUAAAGCCCCAUCACCCUCCCCACCUUAUGUUGAUUCAUGUAGGUACCAAUGACACCGCUAGGCAUACUUUCAAGAAGAUCACAAAUGAUUUUCGAGCUCUGGGAACAAAGCUAAAACUGUAUAAUGUACAUGUGAUCUUUUCAUCCCUCCUCCCCGUUGUAGGACACGGCUCUACAAGGGCCGGAAAAAUAGUACAGGGAGGAGGGAUGAAAAGAUCACAUGUACAUUAUACAGUUUUAGCUUUGUUCCCAGAGCUCGAAAAACUUCUUUUUCACAAACAUCACUGGGGAAGCGGCUGGGGAUUGAGAGGGUCUGAUGAACUCCUUGCGGAGGUUUGA
Molecule: long non-coding RNA, 1239 nt
Filed under: Anolis carolinensis (green anole)
Lineage: Eukaryota; Metazoa; Chordata; Lepidosauria; Squamata; Anolidae
Description: lncRNA (ENSACAG00000028960.2)
Source: RNAcentral